Molecule: long non-coding RNA, 272 nt
Filed under: Homo sapiens (human)
Lineage: Eukaryota; Metazoa; Chordata; Mammalia; Primates; Hominidae
Description: non-protein coding lnc-CD207-1:1
Source: RNAcentral
CCACAAAGCCAGAACCCUUAUAGGUGUGAUCUCCUGGCUUGGCCUCUGGGACUGGUUUAGGAGGAGGAUUUGCAAGUAAGGAGGAGAGCGGCAUGGAGGAUCAAGGCUUCUCCCCACCAGUCUGCUCCUCACCAGGAUCAGAGUGAUGUUUCUACAGUGUCCCUGUCCUUGUCUCUCUCCUGCCUGAAGUCCUUAAUUGGCCCCAUGUCACCCACAAGCCAGAGGUCCAGCUCCUUGACAUGAUCAGAAGGAUCUUCAUCAUCAGACCCCAG